CAUAUCAAUAAGCGGAGGAAAAGAAACCAACAGGGAUUGCCCUAGUAACGGCGAGUGAAGCGGCAACAGCUCAAAUUUGAAAUCUGGCGCUUCCGGCGUCCGAGUUGUAAUUUGUAGAGGAUGCUUCUGGGUAGCCACCGGUCUAAGUUCCUUGGAACAGGACGUCAUAGAGGGUGAGAAUCCCGUAUGUGACCGGAGAGGCGCCCUCCACGUAGCUCCUUCGACGAGUCGAGUUGUUUGGGAAUGCAGCUCUAAAUGGGAGGUAAAUUUCUUCUAAAGCUAAAUAUUGGCCAGAGACCGAUAGCGCACAAGUAGAGUGAUCGAAAGAUGAAAAGCACUUUGGAAAGAGAGUUAAAAAGCACGUGAAAUUGUUGAAAGGGAAGGGAUUGCAACCAGACUUGCUCGCGGUGUUCCGCCGGUCUUCUGACCGGUCUACUCGCCGCGUUGCAGGCCAGCAUCGUCUGGGGCCGCCGUAUAAGACUUUGGGAAUGUAGCUCCCUCGGGAGUGUUAUAGCCCUUUGUGAUGCGGCGCGUCCCGGGCGAGGUCCGCGCUUCGGCUAGGAUGCUGGCGUAAUGGUCGUAAUCCGC
This 588-nucleotide ribosomal RNA is filed under the name Cladosporium sp. ATCC 28310. RNAcentral's name for it is "eukaryotic LSU rRNA". It matches the Rfam family "Eukaryotic large subunit ribosomal RNA", at positions 39 to 648 of the family's 3401-position model. The record is from RNAcentral. Lineage: Eukaryota; Fungi; Ascomycota; Dothideomycetes; Cladosporiales; Cladosporiaceae.